RNAcentral lists this ribosomal RNA (254 nucleotides) under uncultured bacterium. Its description in RNAcentral is "partial 16S ribosomal RNA". It matches the Rfam family "Bacterial small subunit ribosomal RNA", at positions 524 to 777 of the family's 1533-position model. The record is from RNAcentral.
UACGAAGGGGGCUAGCGUUGCUCGGAAUCACUGGGCGUAAAGCGCACGUAGGCGGAUUGCUAAGUCAGGGGUGAAAUCCUGGAGCUCAACUCCAGAACUGCCUUUGAUACUGGCGACCUUGAGUCCGGGAGAGGUGAGUGGAACUGCGAGUGUAGAGGUGAAAUUCGUAGAUAUUCGCAAGAACACCAGUGGCGAAGGCGGCUCACUGGCCCGAUACUGACGCUGAGGCACGAAAGCGUGGGGAGCAAACAGGG